GGAUGAACGCUGGCGGCGUGCUUAACACAUGCAAGUCGAGCGAGAAGUUUUAAAAGAAUUCUUCGGAUGAACUUUGAAACCGAAAGCGGCGGACGGGUGAGUAACGCGUAGGCAACCUGCCUCACACUGAGGGAUAGCUCCGGGAAACCGGGAUUAAUACCUCAUAAAACUCAAGUAUCGCAUGAUACGUGAGUCAAAGAUUAAUCGGUGAGAGAUGGGCCUGCGUCUGAUUAGCUAGUUGGUAAGGUAAAGGCUUACCAAGGCGACGAUCAGUAGCCGACCUGAGAGGGUGAUCGGCCACACUGGAACUGAGACACGGUCCAGACUCCUACGGGAGGCAGCAGUGGGGAAUAUUGCACAAUGGGCGCAAGCCUGAUGCAGCAACGUCGCGUGAGUGAUGAAGGCUUUCGGGUCGUAAAACUCAGUCCUAAGGGAAGAAGAAGUGACGGUACCUUAGGAGGAAGCCCCGGCUAACUACGUGCCAGCAGCCGCGGUAAUACGUAGGGGGCAAAGCGUUAUCCGGAAUUAUUGGGCGUAAAGAGUGCGUAGGUGGUUUUACAAGCCUUGGGUGAAAGGCUACGGCUUAACCGUAGUAAGCCUUGGGAACUGUAGGACUUGAGUGCAGGAGAGGAGAGCGGAAUUCCUAGUGUAGCGGUGAAAUGCGUAGAUAUUAAGGAGGAACACCAGUGGCGAAAGCGGCUCUCUGGACUGUAACUGACGCUGAGGCACGAAAGCGUGGGGAGCGAACAGAUAGAAUACCUGGUAGUCAACGCCGUAAAACGAAUGAGUACUAGUGUCGGGGUCGCGAGGCUUCGGUGCCGUAGCUAACGCAUUAAGUACUCGCCUGGGGAGUACGCACGCAAGUGUGAAACUCAAAGGAAUUGACGGGGACCCGCACAAGCAGCGGAGCAUGUGGUUUAAUUCGAAGCAACGCGAAGAACCUUACCAGAGCUUGACAUCCCUCUGACGCAUCCUUAGAAGGAUGUUCUCUUCGGAGCAGAGGAGACAGGUGGUGCAUGGUUGUCGUCAGCUCGUGUCGUGAGAUGUUGGGUUAAGUCCCGCAACGAGCGCAACCCUUGUCUUUAGUUGCCAGCAAUUCGGAUGGGCACUCUAAAGAGACUGCCGGGGAUAACUCGGAGGAAGGUGGGGAUGACGUCAAAUCAUCAUGCCCCUUAUGUUCUGGGCUACACACGUGCUACAAUGGCCGGUACAAAGAGCAGCAAUAGAGCGAUCUGGAGCAAAUCUUAAAAGCCGGUCUCAGUUCGGAUUGUAGGCUGAAACUCGCCUACAUGAAGUGGGAGUUGCUAGUAAUCGUGGAUCAGAAUGUCACGGUGAAUGCGUUCCCGGGUCUUGUACACACCGCCCGUCACACCAUGGAAGUUGGGGGCACCCGAAGUCGGUCGAAAACAGGCUGCCGAAGGUGAAAUCAAUGACUAGGGU
RNAcentral lists this ribosomal RNA (1440 nucleotides) under uncultured bacterium. Its description in RNAcentral is "bacterial SSU rRNA". It matches the Rfam family "Bacterial small subunit ribosomal RNA". The record is from RNAcentral.